GACGAACGCUGGCGGCGUGCUUAACACAUGCAAGUCGAACGAUUUAGUCGUCGGUCAUCAGACGUCAGACGUCAGGGGAACGAAUGGAACUGAAGAAAGAACUCGCUUUAGCGAAAUCUAUUCCGAAACCCUUACGACCGAUGUCCGAUGACUGACGACCGAAUAGUGGCGGACGGGUGAGUAACGCGUGGGCAACCUACCCAUAAGAGGGGGAUAACAGCUGGAAACGGCUGCUAAUACCGCAUAAGCUUUUUAGGACACAUGUUUUAGAAAGUAAAGGAGGCUUUAGCUUCCGCUUAUGGAUGGGCCCGCGUCUGAUUAGCUAGUUGGUAGGGUAACGGCCUACCAAGGCAACGAUCAGUAGCCGGCCUGAGAGGGUGGACGGCCACACUGGGACUGAGACACGGCCCAGACUCCUACGGGAGGCAGCAGUGGGGAAUAUUGCGCAAUGGGGGAAACCCUGACGCAGCGACGCCGCGUGAGCGAAGAAGGCCUCGGUUGUAAGCUCUGUGUAGGACG
RNAcentral lists this ribosomal RNA (519 nucleotides) under uncultured bacterium. RNAcentral's name for it is "bacterial SSU rRNA". It matches the Rfam family "Bacterial small subunit ribosomal RNA", at positions 28 to 444 of the family's 1533-position model. The record is from RNAcentral.